UGGACUAGCUGACUUGGGCUGCCUUCAUUCUUCUUGGGCCGGCUCCAACAUCAUAUGAUAUGAAUCAGCCUGCUCCACUUCAGGUAAAUCAUUAGCCCCUUUCUCACGUGCUUUAAUCCUUAAUUUCUCUUGCUCAAUCCCUAAGAUUCACAAUUCUUCCCCCAAUUCUUCCUCGUUUUCUCUCCAUUCUCCUUCCACCAUGACAAUACCCACCCCUCGAGAGUAUCCUUGUCCCCAAGGAUCAAAAGAAGGAAACUGUCCGCGGAGAACAGAGUAAUCCUCCCAAGUAUUGUUCGACUCGUCGAGGAGGAUCUGUCAAGGCUGUUGCUGUAGUGCCAAUAUGCUUCUUCAACAGACUGACAUGGAAGAUAGGGUGUAAUCGAGACGCUUCUGAUUCCUCCUCAGUGUAAGGGAUGUUUGACGAUACGGCUACAGUUUGAGAUACUGGACUAGCUGACUUGGGCUGCCUUCAUUCUUCUUGGGCCGGCUCCAACAUCAUAUGAUAUGAAUCAGCCUGCUCCACUUCAGGUAAAUCAUUAGCCCCUUUCUCACGUGCUUUAAUCCUUAAUUUCUCUUGCUCAAUCCCUAAGAUUUGCAAUUCUUCCCCCAAUUCUUCCUCGUUUUCUCUCCCUUCUCCUUCCA
Long non-coding RNA from Hibiscus syriacus, 642 nucleotides. RefSeq lists it as uncharacterized. The transcript is spliced from 4 exons. NCBI's taxonomy places the organism in Eukaryota, Viridiplantae, Streptophyta, Magnoliopsida, Malvales, Malvaceae. The record is from RefSeq and is a predicted model, not a curated record.